UGCACUCACUACUGUAAGUCACUCUGGAUAAGAGCGUCUGCUAAAUGACUUAAA
Non-coding RNA from Salmo salar (Atlantic salmon), 54 nucleotides. The record is from Rfam. NCBI's taxonomy places the organism in Eukaryota, Metazoa, Chordata, Actinopteri, Salmoniformes, Salmonidae.